Molecule: ribosomal RNA, 400 nt
Filed under: uncultured bacterium
Lineage: Bacteria
Description: bacterial SSU rRNA
Rfam family: Bacterial small subunit ribosomal RNA
Source: RNAcentral
UUAGGAAUCUUCCACAAUGGGCGAAAGCCUGAUGGAGCGACGCCGCGUGAGGGAUGAAGGCCUUAGGGUUGUAAACCUCUAAAAGAGGGACGAUAAUGACGGUACCUCUUGAAUAGCACCGGCUAACUCCGUGCCAGCAGCCGCGGUAAUACGGAGGGUGCAAGCGUUAUCCGGAAUCACUGGGCGUAAAGGGCGCGUAGGCGGUCUGUUAAGUCCGAUGUUAAAUCCCGGGGCUCAACCCCGGAUAAGCGUUGGAUACUGGCAGGCUAGACGGUUGGAGAGGCGAGUGGAAUUACCAGUGUAGCGGUGGAAUGCGUAGAUACUGGUAGGAACACCCAUUGCGAAGGCAGUUCGCUGGACAACACGUGACGCUGAGGCGCGAAAGUGUGGGGAGCAAACC